AUACCUUUAUUGGCCUUUUGGCUAAGAUCAAGUGUAGUAUCUGUUCUUAUCAGUUUAAUAUCUGAUAUAUGGACCAUUGGUCCACCCGAUAUUAAAUUUAUUUUUUUAAUGGAGAGAUCAAUUGCAGUAGCUUGUUACUAGCAUCGCUUUUGUUUUGCACUGUUGCAAAGACUCGUUGCAUCCCUU
Small nuclear RNA from Vigna umbellata (rice bean), 186 nucleotides. RefSeq annotates it as U2 spliceosomal RNA. Lineage: Eukaryota; Viridiplantae; Streptophyta; Magnoliopsida; Fabales; Fabaceae. The record is from RefSeq and is a predicted model, not a curated record.